This 374-nucleotide ribosomal RNA is filed under the name uncultured bacterium. RNAcentral's name for it is "bacterial SSU rRNA". It matches the Rfam family "Bacterial small subunit ribosomal RNA", at positions 524 to 898 of the family's 1533-position model. The record is from RNAcentral.
UACAGAGGGUGCGAGCGUUAAUCGGAAUUACUGGGCGUAAAGGGCGCGUAGGCGGUUAUUGACGUGCGAUGUGAAAGCCCUGGGCUUAACCUAGGAAGUGCAUCGCAAACGAAAUGACUGGAGUAUAAGAGAGGGUGGCGGAAUUUCCGGUGUAGCGGUGAAAUGCGUAGAGAUCGGAAGGAACGUCAAUGGCGAAGGCAGCCACCAGGCUUAAUACUGACGCUGAGGCGCGAAAGCGUGGGGAUCAAACAGGAUUAGAUACCCUGGUAGUCCACGCUGUAAACGAUGAGAACUAGAUGUUGGCUGGGGAACCAGUCAGUAUCGAAGCUAACGCGAUAAGUUCUCCGCCUGGGAAGUACGGCCGCAAGGUUGAA